This 449-nucleotide ribosomal RNA is filed under the name uncultured bacterium. RNAcentral's name for it is "partial 16S ribosomal RNA". It matches the Rfam family "Bacterial small subunit ribosomal RNA", at positions 29 to 523 of the family's 1533-position model. The record is from RNAcentral.
AACGAACGCUGGCGGCAGGCCUAACACAUGCAAGUCGAACGCUCUAGCAAUAGAGAGUGGCAGACGGGUGAGUAACACGUGGGAAUCUUCCUAUCGGUACGGAAUAGCUCAGGGAAACUUGGGGUAAUACCGCAUACGCCCUUCGGGGGAAAGAUUUAUCGCCAUUGGAGCGGCCCGCGUUGGAUUAGGUAGUUGGUGGGGUAAAGGCCCACCAAGCCUACGAUCCAUAGCUGGUCUGAGAGGAUGAUCAGCCACACUGGGACUGAGACACGGCCCAGACUCCUACGGGAGGCAGCAGUGGGGAAUAUUGGACAAUGGGCGCAAGCCUGAUCCAGCCAUGCCGCGUGAGUGACGAAGGUCUUCGGAUUGUAAAGCUCUUUUGGCGGGGACGAUAAUGACGGUACCCGCAGAAUAAGCCCCGGCUAACUUCGUGCCAGCCGCCGCUGUAA